GAUGAACGCUGGCGGCGUGCCUAAUACAUGCAAGUCGAGCGAACAGACGAGGAGCUUAUUCCUCUGACGUUAGCGGCGGACGGGUGAGUAACACGUGGAGAACCUACCUAUAAGACUGGGAUAACUUCGGGAAACCGGAGCUAAUACCGGAUAAAAUGUUGAACCGCAUGGUUCAACAGUGAAAGAUGCACUUGCUGUCCCUUAUAAAUGGAUCCGCUUCGCAUUAGUAAGUUGGUAAGGAAACGGCUUACCAAGGCAACGAAGCGAGGCCGACCGGAAGGGGGGAUCGGCAACACGGGAACGGGAACAGGGUCCAGACUCCUACGGGAGGCAGCGGUAGGGAAUCUUCCGCAAGGGGCGAAGGCCGGACGGGGCAACGCCGCGUGAGUGAGGAGGGUCUUGGGAUCUUAAAACUCUGUGAUUAAGGAAAAACAAAGUGGUAAGUAACUAUGCACGUCUUGACGGUACCUAAUCAGAAAGCCACGGCUAACUACGUG
RNAcentral lists this ribosomal RNA (497 nucleotides) under uncultured bacterium. RNAcentral describes it as "partial 16S ribosomal RNA". It matches the Rfam family "Bacterial small subunit ribosomal RNA", at positions 28 to 507 of the family's 1533-position model. The record is from RNAcentral.